This 607-nucleotide long non-coding RNA is filed under the name Parus major (Great Tit). Its description in RNAcentral is "lncRNA (ENSPMJG00000005632.1)". Lineage: Eukaryota; Metazoa; Chordata; Aves; Passeriformes; Paridae. The record is from RNAcentral.
AAAAGACAAAUAAAAUGGAAUCUUAUUUGCAUCUGAUUUACAUUAUCCUGAAGGAACAAACACUGUAUCAACACUGUGCAGAUGUGUUUUAACCCAGCAGAAUAUUUCAGUGAGUUUUAUGUUCCUUUAAAUACUAAAGUUUGGUCUGUGAAAGAAGCAUGCUGUUGUGAAGCUUCAUCAGACUUCAAGCGGGAUUGGGAUGAAAAGACCCUCUUUCACCUCAAUUAUUGGAAAAUGCAGGCCUCAUUUUCCACUAAAGUUGUGCCCAGACAGUGCAAAGAAGAACUGCAGGAGAAGGAUGAGACCAGCUCUGAGCAAGCAGGAGUAUCUCCACUGCACAGCACUGCAACAUGUUGUCAAAAUUAUUGACAGCAUUUUGGGGAUGCCAUAAUAUUGGCACAGUGUGGAUGGGGCUAUUUCAGGGAUCUUUCCACAAAGUAGCAGAGAUGUAACCAAGCUAUAGUAGUAGCAGCCCAAACAAGCAGCAACAAAAGUUUAAUGGCACAGGGAAACUAGUAAAAAUACCAAAGUUGAUGGUUUUCUUCCAACAAUCAGAAGCGUUCAAAAUUAGAAAUAUUGAAUAAAUAGAAAGAAUGACUUAGUGUCA